UGACACAGGGAGGUAGUGACAAGAAAUAACAAUACAGGGCUCUUUCGAGUCUUGUAAUUGGAAUGAGUACAAUUUACAUCUCUUCACGAGGAUCAAUUGGAGGGCAAGUCUGGUGCCAGCAGCCGCGGUAAUUCCAGCUCCAAUAGCGUAUAUUAAAGUUGUUGCAGUUAAAACGCUCGUAGUCGGAUUUCGGGGCGGUUUUGCCGGUCUGCCGUUGGGUAUGCACUGGUGCGAGCGUCCUUCCUUCCGGAGACGGCGCCUGCUCUUAACUGAGUGGGUGUCGGAGACGGAUCGUUUACUUUGAAAAAAUCAGAGUGUUUCAAGCAGGCAGCUCGCUUUUGCAUGGAUUAGCAUGGGAUAAUGAAAUAGGACUUUGGUGCUAUUUUGUUGGUUUCGACC
RNAcentral lists this ribosomal RNA (399 nucleotides) under Haptophyta sp. RNAcentral describes it as "SSU rRNA". It matches the Rfam family "Eukaryotic small subunit ribosomal RNA", at positions 452 to 855 of the family's 1831-position model. The record is from RNAcentral. Lineage: Eukaryota; Haptophyta.